GGCUACAGCCAUGUACCUGAACAUGCCCAAUCUCAUCUGAUCUCAGAAGCUAAAAAGGGUCAGACCUGGUUAGUACUUGGAUGGGAGAAAAUGAAGGUGGAGAUAGUUC
RNAcentral lists this ribosomal RNA (109 nucleotides) under Mandrillus leucophaeus (drill). Lineage: Eukaryota; Metazoa; Chordata; Mammalia; Primates; Cercopithecidae. The record is from RNAcentral.